ACGGUUAUAAAUCAACAUAUUGAUUUAUAAGCAUGGAAAUCCCCUGAGUGAAACAACGAAUUGCUGUGUGUAGUCUUUGCCCAUCUCCCACGAUGGGCUUUUUUAACA
Molecule: non-coding RNA, 108 nt
Filed under: Escherichia coli
Lineage: Bacteria; Pseudomonadati; Pseudomonadota; Gammaproteobacteria; Enterobacterales; Enterobacteriaceae
Description: antisense sRNA RprA
Rfam family: RprA RNA
About the family: Translational regulation of the stationary phase sigma factor RpoS is mediated by the formation of a double-stranded RNA stem-loop structure in the upstream region of the rpoS messenger RNA, occluding the translation initiation site. Clones carrying rprA (RpoS regulator RNA A) increased the translation of RpoS.
Source: RNAcentral